ACGGUGCUGAAGCAACAAAUGCCCUGCUUCCAGGAAAAGCCUCUAAGCAUCAGGUAACAUCAAAUCGUACCCCAAACCGACACAGGUGGUCAGGUAGAGAAUACCAAGGCGCUUGAGAGAACUCGGGUGAAGGAACUAGGCAAAAUGGUGCCGUAACUUCGGGAGAAGGCACGCUGAUAUGUAGGUGAAGUCCCUCGCGGAUGGAGCUGAAAUCAGUCGAAGAUACCAGCUGGCUGCAACUGUUUAUUAAAAACACAGCACUGUGCAAACACGAAAGUGGACGUAUACGGUGUGACGCCUGCCCGGUGCCGGAAGGUUAAUUGAUGGGGUCAGCGCAAGCGAAGCUCUUGAUCGAAGCCCCGGUAAACGGCGGCCGUAACUAUAACGGUCCUAAGGUAGCGAAAUUCCUUGUCGGGUAAGUUCCGACCUGCACGAAUGGCGUAAUGAUGGCCAGGCUGUCUCCACCCGAGACUCAGUGAAAUUGAACUCGCUGUGAAGAUGCAGUGUACCCGCGGCAAGACGGAAAGACCCCGUGAACCUUUACUAUAGCUUGACACUGAACAUUGAGCCUUGAUGUGUAGGAUAGGUGGGAGGCUUUGAAGUGUGGACGCCAGUCUGCAUGGAGCCGACCUUGAAAUACCACCCUUUAAUGUUUGAUGUUCUAACGUGGACCCGUGAUCCGGGUUGCGGACAGUGUCUGGUGGGUAGUUUGACUGGGGCGGUCUCCUCCUAAAGAGUAACGGAGGAGCACGAAGGUUGGCUAAUCCUGGUCGGACAUCAGGAGGUUAGUGCAAUGGCAUAAGCCAGCUUGACUGCGAGCGUGACGGCGCGAGCAGGUGCGAAAGCAGGUCAUAGUGAUCCGGUGGUUCUGAAUGGAAGGGCCAUCGCUCAACGGAUAAAAGGUACUCCGGGGAUAACAGGCUGAUACCGCCCAAGAGUUCAUAUCGACGGCGGUGUUUGGCACCUCGAUGUCGGCUCAUCACAUCCUGGGGCUGAAGUAGGUCCCAAGGGUAUGGCUGUUCGCCAUUUAAAGUGGUACGCGAGCUGGGUUUAGAACGUCGUGAGACAGUUCGGUCCCUAUCUGCCGUGGGCGCUGGAGAACUGAGGGGGGCUGCUCCUAGUACGAGAGGACCGGAGUGGACGCAUCACUGGUGUUCGGGUUGUCAUGCCAAUGGCACUGCCCGGUAGCUAAAUGCGGAAGAGAUAAGUGCUGAAAGCAUCUAAGCACGAAACUUGCCCCGAGAUGAGUUCUCCCUGACCCUUUAAGGGUCCUGAAGGAACGUUGAAGACGACGACGUUGAUAGGCCGGGUGUGUAAGCGCAGCGAUGCGUUGAGCUAACCGGUACUAAUGAACCGUGAGGCUUAACCUUACAACGCCGAAGGUGUUU
Molecule: ribosomal RNA, 1388 nt
Filed under: Escherichia coli
Lineage: Bacteria; Pseudomonadati; Pseudomonadota; Gammaproteobacteria; Enterobacterales; Enterobacteriaceae
Description: partial 23S ribosomal RNA
Rfam family: Bacterial large subunit ribosomal RNA
Source: RNAcentral